Molecule: unclassified non-coding RNA, 266 nt
Filed under: Hevea brasiliensis (rubber tree)
Lineage: Eukaryota; Viridiplantae; Streptophyta; Magnoliopsida; Malpighiales; Euphorbiaceae
Source: RNAcentral
UGAAGAAGCUCCUGAACUGCCUUCUCAGAAUGGAAGAAGGAAAGUGAAUCAUUAAAUCCAUUAUCUGGUUGUGAGCAUGAAAAACUCACAUCCCCAUUUCCAUAAGAAUCAGUGGAAUUGAGCUUGCUAGGAGCCAUGAGUGAAAGUGAGUAAUUGAAGAAGACGAUACAGAGAGAAGCAGAUUAUCUCAUAAGGCGAUACAGAUGAUGCACAUGAAAUAAGAAGGGCAUCAGAGUAGUUGGAAGUUGAAAGUCAUAUCUAGAGAG